GAAGUGCGAUAAGUAAUGUGAAUUGCAGAAUCCAGUGAAUCAUCAAAUCUUUGAACGCAUAUUGCGCCUAGGGUUCACCUUAGGCAUGCUUGUUUGAGUGUCAUUUUAUUCAUUCAUAACUAUAAUAAUUCUCUUUUGAAUUACUUUAGUCAUGGACAUUGGUUUGUCACAGAGCUUUCGAGCAUUGUGUCAACUUAAAGUGACUUGUAGAGAUUCAUUGUUCGAUGUUUGAACGCUCUGAAAAUGUAGUGAGUUGUCACCAACAAACUCUUUUUCUUGUUUUGAUAUCUGCUUGAAUCAUGCUACAUAAUGUGUAACAUCAGAUCAUUAUGUGUCUGAGAAUCAACAACAAUUCUGACCUCAAAUCAAGUAACACUACCCGCUGAAUUUAA
RNAcentral lists this unclassified non-coding RNA (392 nucleotides) under uncultured fungus. RNAcentral describes it as "sequence contains ITS1". The stretch from base 1 to 103 matches the Rfam family "5.8S ribosomal RNA", at positions 50 to 154 of the family's 154-position model. The record is from RNAcentral. Lineage: Eukaryota; Fungi.